Cygnus olor (mute swan) is the source of this 456-nucleotide long non-coding RNA. RefSeq lists it as uncharacterized. The transcript is spliced from 3 exons. The record is from RefSeq and is a predicted model, not a curated record. NCBI's taxonomy places the organism in Eukaryota, Metazoa, Chordata, Aves, Anseriformes, Anatidae.
GAACUAGUGCAUGACCUUGCAUCUCUUAUGAGAAGUCACAGCUGUAUUCCGACAUUGACUGAUAAAGACAAGUGAACAGGCAAGCAGAGUCCCAUCCCCUCUUCAAAACAGGCCAGACAUUUUAACUCAUCUCACUGAAAAAUGAUUUGCUGCCAUCAUAAUUAAACACUUCUGGGUUUCUAUGACACAGUUCAAAACAACAGAAAACAAAAAAAACGAAGUGCCAGACAACUUCAGACUCCGAUCCAAGUGACAAGAGAAAGACUACCCUGUUAAACACCAACAUGGCACUAAACAGACAUCUCCCAAAUCUCUGCCUAGCUUGAAUGUUUGCAGAAGAGAUGUUAAUUGGCACACCGCACCGGGAGGAUCAGAGCAGAGAAGUGAAAGGAUCUGCUAUCUCCUCACGGUACAGCAAAGAACCUGAGCGAUUUCUGCUGUUUAGUGCAGCGCAUA